AUGUUCUCUGUAGCUCUGCUGCUGCUGCUGGCUGCUGCAUCCUAUACUGAUGGUCAAACACUGACUGAGUCUGAGUCAGUGGUUAAAAGGCCUGGAGAUUCUCACAGACUGACCUGCACAUAUUCUGGGUUUAGUAGCGAUCCUCACAUAGCUUGGAUAAGACAGGCAACUGGAAAAGGACUAGAAUGGAUCACUUAUAUCAGCAGUGGCAGCAGCUAUAUCUACUACUCUGACUCAGUAAAAGGCCGGUUCACCAUCUCCAGAGAGAACAGCAGAAGUCAGGUGUAUCUGCAGAUGAACAGCCUGGCAGCUGCAGAUUCUGCUGUUUAUUAUUGCGCUCGGGAGUCACAGUGACACCAAAAGCAGAAACACUGAAC
Poeciliopsis prolifica (blackstripe livebearer) is the source of this 377-nucleotide non-coding RNA. The record is from the annotation of a RefSeq genome assembly. Lineage: Eukaryota; Metazoa; Chordata; Actinopteri; Cyprinodontiformes; Poeciliidae.